GAUGAACGCUGGCGGCGUGCCUAAUACAUGCAAGUCGAACGAGUUCUCGUUGAUGAUCGGUGCUUGCACCGAGAUUCAACAUGGAACGAGUGGCGGACGGGUGAGUAACACGUGGGUAACCUGCCCUUAAGUGGGGGAUAACAUUUGGAAACAGAUGCUAAUACCGCAUAGAUCCAAGAACCGCAUGGUUCUUGGCUGAAAGAUGGCGUAAGCUAUCGCUUUUGGAUGGACCCGCGGCGUAUUAGCUAGUUGGUGAGGUAAUGGCUCACCAAGGCGAUGAUACGUAGCCGAACUGAGAGGUUGAUCGGCCACAUUGGGACUGAGACACGGCCCAAACUCCUACGGGAGGCAGCAGUAGGGAAUCUUCCACAAUGGACGCAAGUCUGAUGGAGCAACACCGCGUGAGUGAAGAAGGCUUUCGGGUCGUAAAACUCUGUUGUUGGAGAAGAAUGGUCGGCAGAGUAACUGUUGUCGGCGUGACGGUAUCCAACCAGAAAGCCAUGGCUAACUACGUGCCAGCAGCCGCGGUAAUACGUAGGUGGCAAGCGUUAUCCGGAUUUAUUGGGCGUAAAGCGAGCGCAGGCGGUUUUUUAAGUCUGAUGUGAAAGCCCUCGGCUUAACCGAGGAAGCGCAUCGGAAACUGGGAAACUUGAGUGCAGAAGAGGACAGUGGAACUCCAUGUGUAGCGGUGAAAUGCGUAGAUAUAUGGAAGAACACCAGUGGCGAAGGCGGCUGUCUGGUCUGUAACUGACGCUGAGGCUCGAAAGCAUGGGUAGCGAACAGGAUUAGAUACCCUGGUAGUCCAUGCCGUAAACGAUGAAUGCUAGGUGUUGGAGGGUUUCCGCCCUUCAGUGCCGCAGCUAACGCAUUAAGCAUUCCGCCUGGGGAGUACGACCGCAAGGUUGAAACUCAAAGGAAUUGACGGGGGCCCGCACAAGCGGUGGAGCAUGUGGUUUAAUUCGAAGCAACGCGAAGAACCUUACCAGGUCUUGACAUCUUUUGAUCACCUGAGAGAUCAGGUUUCCCCUUCGGGGGCAAAAUGACAGGUGGUGCAUGGUUGUCGUCAGCUCGUGUCGUGAGAUGUUGGGUUAAGUCCCGCAACGAGCGCAACCCUUAUGACUAGUUGCCAGCAUUUAGUUGGGCACUCUAGUAAGACUGCCGGUGACAAACCGGAGGAAGGUGGGGAUGACGUCAAAUCAUCAUGCCCCUUAUGACCUGGGCUACACACGUGCUACAAUGGAUGGUACAACGAGUUGCGAGACCGCGAGGUCAAGCUAAUCUCUUAAAGCCAUUCUCAGUUCGGACUGUAGGCUGCAACUCGCCUACACGAAGUCGGAAUCGCUAGUGAUCGCGGAUCAGCACGCCGCGGUGAAUACGUUCCCGGGCCUUGUACACACCGCCCGUCACACCAUGAGAGUUUGUAACACCCGAAGCCGGUGGCGUAACCCUUUUAGGGAGCGAGCCGUCUAAGGUGGGACAAAUGAUUAGGGUG
This 1492-nucleotide ribosomal RNA is filed under the name Lactobacillus sp. RNAcentral's name for it is "bacterial SSU rRNA". It matches the Rfam family "Bacterial small subunit ribosomal RNA". The record is from RNAcentral. Lineage: Bacteria; Bacillati; Bacillota; Bacilli; Lactobacillales; Lactobacillaceae.